RNAcentral lists this ribosomal RNA (275 nucleotides) under uncultured soil bacterium. Its description in RNAcentral is "partial 16S ribosomal RNA". It matches the Rfam family "Bacterial small subunit ribosomal RNA", at positions 26 to 284 of the family's 1533-position model. The record is from RNAcentral.
AGAAUCAACGCUGGCGGCGUGCCUCAGACAUGCAAGUCGAACGCGAAAGUCCCCUUCAGGGGACAAGUAGAGUGGCGCACGGGUGAGUAACACGUAGGUAAUCUACCUUCGGAUGGGGAAUAACAACCGGAAACGGUUGCUAAUACCGCAUAAUGCAGCGGCACCUAAUGGUGACAGUUGUUAGAGCGGGGGAUCGAAAGACCUCGCGUCUGAAGAGGAGCCUGCGGCGGAUUAGCUAGUUGGUAGGGUAACGGCCUACCAAGGCGACGAUCCGU